ACGGGAGUAGCUUAACAAGGCAAAAGCACUAGGUUUGGGACUUAGGAGAUGCAGGUUCAACCCUGUCACCCGUA
This 74-nucleotide transfer RNA is filed under the name Aureispira sp. CCB-E. RNAcentral's name for it is "tRNA-Pro". It matches the Rfam family "tRNA". Rfam says of the family: Transfer RNA (tRNA) molecules are approximately 80 nucleotides in length. Their secondary structure includes four short double-helical elements and three loops (D, anti-codon, and T loops). Lineage: Bacteria; Pseudomonadati; Bacteroidota; Saprospiria; Saprospirales; Saprospiraceae. The record is from RNAcentral.